RNAcentral lists this ribosomal RNA (505 nucleotides) under uncultured bacterium. Its description in RNAcentral is "partial 16S ribosomal RNA". It matches the Rfam family "Bacterial small subunit ribosomal RNA", at positions 28 to 507 of the family's 1533-position model. The record is from RNAcentral.
GACGAACGCUGGCGGCGUGCCUAAUACAUGCAAGUAGAACGCACAGUUUAUACCGUAGCUUGCUACACCAUAGACUGUGAGUUGCGAACGGGUGAGUAACGCGUAGGUAACCUGCCUGGUAGCGGGGGAUAACUAUUGGAAACGAUAGCUAAUACCGCAUAAUAUUAAUUAUUGCAUGAUAAUUAAUUGAAAGGUGCAAUUGCACCACUACCAGAUGGACCUGCGUUGUAUUAGCUAGUAGGUGAGGUAACGGCUCACCUAGGCGACGAUACAUAGCCGACCUGAGAGGGUGAUCGGCCACACUGGGACUGAGACACGGCCCAGACUCCUACGGGAGGCAGCAGUAGGGAAUCUUCGGCAAUGGACGAAAGUCUGACCGAGCAACGCCGCGUGAGUGAAGAAGGUUCUCGGAUCGUAAAGCUCUGUUGUAAGAGAAGAACGGGUGUGAGAGUGGAAAGUUCACACUGUGACGGUAUCUUACCAGAAAGGGACGGCUAACUACGUG